Molecule: ribosomal RNA, 253 nt
Filed under: uncultured prokaryote
Description: partial 16S ribosomal RNA
Rfam family: Bacterial small subunit ribosomal RNA
Source: RNAcentral
UACAGAGGGUGCAAGCGUUGUUCGGAAUUAUUGGGCGUAAAGGGCGCGUAGGCGGUGCCACAAGUCACCUGUGAAAUCUCCGGGCUUAACUCGGAGCCUGCAGGCGAAACUGUGGUGCUGGAGUGUGGGAGAGGUGCGUGGAAUUCCCUGUGUAGCGGUGAAAUGCGUAGAGAUAGGGGAGAACACUCGUGGCGAAGGCGGCCAGCUAGACCAGUUCUGACACUGAGGCGCGAUAGCGUGGGGAGCAAACAGG